This 253-nucleotide ribosomal RNA is filed under the name uncultured bacterium. RNAcentral's name for it is "partial 16S ribosomal RNA". It matches the Rfam family "Bacterial small subunit ribosomal RNA", at positions 524 to 776 of the family's 1533-position model. The record is from RNAcentral.
UACGUAGGGGGCAAGCGUUGUCCGGAUUUAUUGGGCGUAAAGCGCGUGUAGGCGGCUUGGUAGGUCAGCUGUGAAAACUCGAGGCUCAACCUCGAGCUGUCGGUUGAAACCACCUUGCUAGAGUCCGGAAGAGGAGAGUGGAAUUCCUGGUGUAGCGGUGAAAUGCGCAGAUAUCAGGAAGAACACCCGUGGCGAAGGCGGCUCUCUGGGACGGUACUGACGCUGAGACGCGAAAGCGUGGGGAGCGAACAGG